GAAGACAACCAUAGUAAUUUGGUAACACCUGUUCCCGUUCCGAACACAGAAGUUAAGCUUAUUACGUCUCAAAUUAGUUUCGAAAGAAGCGAAACCGAGAUGUUGUCCUCG
Molecule: ribosomal RNA, 111 nt
Filed under: Candidatus Pacearchaeota archaeon
Lineage: Archaea; Nanobdellati
Source: RNAcentral